Molecule: ribosomal RNA, 253 nt
Filed under: uncultured bacterium
Lineage: Bacteria
Description: partial 16S ribosomal RNA
Rfam family: Bacterial small subunit ribosomal RNA
Source: RNAcentral
UACGUAGGUGGCAAGCGUUGUCCGGAUUUAUUGGGCGUAAAGCGCGCGCAGGCGGCUUCGCGCGCCCGACGUGAAAGCCCCCGGCUUAACCGGGGAGAGUCGUUGGGGACGGCGGGGCUUGAGGGCGGGAGAGGUCGGUGGAAUUCCCGGUGUAGUGGUGAAAUGCGUAGAGAUCGGGAGGAACACCUGUGGCGAAGGCGGCCGACUGGGCCGACCCUGACGCUGAGGCGCGAAGGCGUGGGGAGCGAACGGG